UUAAAAAUGCAUGCAUCUUAAGUAUAAUAAAAUGUGCUUUCAAUGUAUUUGUUAAAUGCAAAAUAUGAUUAUUACAUAAGCAAUAAAAAAUACCAAAUCAAAGCAAAUAAAAACUCAAAAGAGAUCGAUCAAGAAAUUAAAUGAAAUAAAUUAAUAAACUACAUUUUAAGGUGUGUAUAUCAGGCACCGGUCACUCUGACCUCAGGAUCCUGCAUUACAUCAGCUAUUAACUUGGAUACCUCACAGAAUCUACACACACCCAUUACACAUAUACACUCCUGAGAAUGAUGUCAUGACAGGAAACAGGAAGUAGAUCAAGAGAUCAAGAGUGAUCAAACAUAAGCAUCAUGUGACUUUCCUCUCCUCUCUGACUCCACACACCUGGAUGAAGAGGAGUUACCUGAUUUGGAUCCGCAGGUGGGAGCGAUCUGGCCGCUCGGACAGGUGCACAUGUUGGGUCUGGAGCAGAAGCCGUCUCCGCAGGGGCUCCGACAAAUAGCUGAGAACAGCAAAAACAAUGACUGACGACAUCUACUGAUUGCUUGACAUUCACAGACAUCAAUAAACAUGAAGCUUUUUUGUGUAUUUGAACCCUUUACGACGAUGACUGUAUGAUUCUGAGAUCAUCUUUUCACACUGAGGACAACUGAGGGACUC
Molecule: long non-coding RNA, 657 nt
Organism: Carassius carassius (crucian carp)
Lineage: Eukaryota; Metazoa; Chordata; Actinopteri; Cypriniformes; Cyprinidae
Exons: 3
Source: RefSeq, a predicted model, not a curated record